This 819-nucleotide ribosomal RNA is filed under the name Triticum aestivum (bread wheat). RNAcentral describes it as "partial small subunit ribosomal RNA". The record is from RNAcentral. Lineage: Eukaryota; Viridiplantae; Streptophyta; Magnoliopsida; Poales; Poaceae.
AUGGAUGAGGUCACAAUGGGUAUACAAGGAGAUAUCCCAUGGUGUAUGCUCUUUGCGGAUGAUGUGGUGCUAGUUGACGAUAGUCGGACGGGGGUAAAUAGGAAGUUAGAGUUAUGGAGACAAACCUUGGAAUCGAAAGGGUUUAGGCUUAGUAGAACUAAAACCGAGUACAUGAUGUGCGGUUUCAGUACUACUAGCUGUGAGGAGGAGGAGGUUAGCCUUGAUGGCCAGGUGGUACCUCGGAAGGACACCUUUCGGUAUUUGGGGUCAAUGUUGCAGGAGGAUGGGGGUAUUGAUGAAGAUGUGAACCAUCGAAUCAAAGCCGGAUGGAUGAAGUGGCGCCAAGCUUCUGGCAUUUUCUGUGACAAGAGAGUGCCACAAAAGCUAAAAGGCAAGUUCUACAGGACGGCGGUUCGACCCGCAAUGUUGUAUGGCGCGGAGUGGUGGCCGACUAAAAGGCGACAUGUUCAACAGUUAGGUGUGGCGGAGAUGCGUAUGUUGAGAUGGAUGUGUGGCCACACGAGGAAGGAUCGAGUCCGGAAUGAUGAUAUACGAGAUAGAGUUAGGGUAGCACCAAUUGAGGAGAAUCUUGUCCAACAUCGUUUGAGAUGGUUUGGGCAUAUUCAGCGCAGGCCUCCAGAAGCUCCAGUGCAUAGCGGACGGCUAAAGCGUGCGAAGAAUGUCAAGAGAGGGCGGGGUCGACCGAUUUUGACAUGGGAGGAGUCCGUUAAGAGAGACCUGAAGGAUUGGAGUAUCGACAAAGAGCUAGCUAUGGACAGGGUUGCGUGGAAGCUUGCUAUCCAUGUGCCAGAGCCAUGA